CUGGGCCAUGGAGUGUACCUGGGUAAUAAGGCUGAUAUUAGAGGAGAAGGGGCAUUGUCAGAGAGCUUUCGGUUCAUCAAAGGACUUUUUGUGGAGAGGGGACACCACAUCCAUUAAAGUGGCUGCGCAGGUCCCAGGGUGAGUCUCUCUCCAGCAUUUCUUUACGGUCGCCAGUGGUGUGCCAUGCCUGCUCAGUGUGCCCCUCUCUGCCCGACUCCUAUCUUGGGCUUUGCAAGAAAUAGGCAAUAAUCAAGCGUUCGUUUUCCAGUUUCUGCUCUUGAGCUUGCUUUGGAGCGGGGAAGCAAGGCUCCUGUGUGCCUUGCUCCUGGAUGAUGCUCACUGCUGGGGCUGAGGUGGCUUGGCUUAUUCAUUUAAAAUUAAAGCAUGCAUGUGGCUAUUGAGCUCAUGUCCUUCCCACUGGGGCGGAGGGAGAGUCAAUUUUUAAAUUAUCCAUAGGAAUAAGAACUGGUGGAAGCCUCCAUGGAGUCUUUCUUGGUGGGCAAGAUUUUGGAGAACGUAGUUACCUACCUAAAAAGCAUCGAGCUCCCUGCUGGCUUCACGCGCACAGGGCUGGCAGUGGCUUCGUGGCCACAGCCUC
This 598-nucleotide long non-coding RNA is filed under the name Chloebia gouldiae (Gouldian finch). Its description in RNAcentral is "Erythrura gouldiae (Gouldian finch) lncRNA (ENSEGOG00005002679.1)". The record is from RNAcentral. Lineage: Eukaryota; Metazoa; Chordata; Aves; Passeriformes; Passeridae.